GUGGGGAUAGCUCAGUUGGGAGAGUGUCAGACUGAAGAUCUAAAGGUCACGUGUUCGAUCCACGUUCAUCGCA
Ipomoea nil (Japanese morning glory) is the source of this 73-nucleotide transfer RNA. It matches the Rfam family "tRNA". Rfam says of the family: Transfer RNA (tRNA) molecules are approximately 80 nucleotides in length. Their secondary structure includes four short double-helical elements and three loops (D, anti-codon, and T loops). Further hydrogen bonds mediate the characteristic L-shaped molecular structure. tRNAs have two regions of fundamental functional importance: the anti-codon, which is responsible for specific mRNA codon recognition, and the 3' end, to which the tRNAs corresponding amino acid is attached (by aminoacyl-tRNA synthetases). tRNAs cope with the degeneracy of the genetic code in two manners: having more than one tRNA (with a specific anti-codon) for a particular amino acid; and 'wobble' base-pairing, i.e. permitting non-standard base-pairing at the 3rd anti-codon position. The record is from Rfam. NCBI's taxonomy places the organism in Eukaryota, Viridiplantae, Streptophyta, Magnoliopsida, Solanales, Convolvulaceae.